GGUCAGCCACUGCUCCUUCCUGAGCUCCAGGCCCUGACAAGGAGCGAGCCACCUCCUCCUGGUCUCCAUCCUACCUCCCGGUGGACCCCCAGAGAAGGGCUGCCACCUGGAGCCACCUGUCCAGGGCCUGGGCCUGCUCCUUCAUGGGCAUCCCCUCCCACCCGGCUUCUCCACGCCGCUGAAAGAACAGUCCUUCCCAGGGUGCUUCUUGCCCUCCCUCCCCUGUGUGCUGGCCUGGGGCGUGGGCCUUUCCUCUGAGGGCAGUGUUGGGGCUCCCCUUCCUUGUCCACCUCCCUCACUCCAGCAGGACCCCGCUCCUCUGGCCUGAGGUCCUCUCCUGGACAGUGGCUCCUACUGGGUGAGCCUCACAGAGCCACCUGGCAGAGGCCCCAGGGCAGAUCUGCUGAAUGCGUGAGAACUUGAACCCCGAGCACACCACAUUCCCCGGAGACUGCUGGCCUCCAGCCAGGGGGCUCCGGCUGCCCGGGAGCCUCCUCCAGCCUGCCCACUCCUGGCAUCCUGGGUGGGUCUGGUGCCGUGGGCCCUUCCUCUCCUGGUCAAAUGGACUAGUCCUUGGCAGGUGUGGCCUGGGACCCCGCAGCACCCCGCCCUCAGUGCCUUCUGAGUGGCUCCUCCAGCCCCUCACAGAGGCACAUUCUCCUAACGGGACUCCGAUUCCAUGAGAGGGCAUUUGUGUCAAGGAAGCCAUCAUGUGGCUUCAGGUGGAGGGGCCCCUCCUGCCGCCCAUAAGCAAAGGGUCCACGUGCACCUCUGGGCUGCAGGAGCUACAGCGUGAGCUGGGGUGUGUGUGUGUGCACGCGCGCGAGUGUGAAUCUGCACGUCUGCGCAUGUGGUAAUCUAUUUCUAAAACAUGACCCCAGCGACCUCAUG
This 891-nucleotide long non-coding RNA is filed under the name Marmota monax (woodchuck). The record is from RNAcentral. Lineage: Eukaryota; Metazoa; Chordata; Mammalia; Rodentia; Sciuridae.